This 2507-nucleotide ribosomal RNA is filed under the name human gut metagenome. RNAcentral's name for it is "bacterial LSU rRNA". It matches the Rfam family "Bacterial large subunit ribosomal RNA", at positions 1 to 2534 of the family's 2925-position model. The record is from RNAcentral.
UAAAGAUUUUAAGGGCGUACGGUGGAUGCCUUGGCGAUAUCAGCCGAAGAAGGACGCGGUAAGCUGCGAUAAGCUACGGAGAGGUGCAAGCAACCUUUGACCCGUAGAUUUCCGAAUGGGGGAACCCGGCAGUGGUUAUGCACUGUCACCCAUACCUUUGAGUAUGAGGAGGGCACCUGGGGAACUGAAACAUCUAAUUACCCAGAGGAAGAGUAAUCAAACGAGAUUUUCUUAGUAGCGGCGAGCGAACGGGAAAGAGGCCAAACCGGAGCGGGCAACCGCACCGGGGUUGAGGACAGUCAUCAAGUGUAAAUGAGGUAGAAGAAUCGAGUUGGAAAGCUCAGCCGCAGAAGGUGAAAGCCCUGUAAUCGAAACCUUGCAUACAUGGGACUGUAUCCAGAGUACCACGAGACACGUGAAACCUUGUGGGAAGCAGGGGGGACCACCCUCCAAGCCAAAAUACUGAUAUCGACCGAUAGCGCAUAGUACCGUGAGGGAAAGGUGAAAAGAACCCCUGGCGGGGAGUGAAAGAGAACCUGAAACCGUAUGUCUACAAACAGUCGAAGUCUGUAUAUAUAUCAGGACGACGGCGUGCCUAUUGAAGAAUGAACCGACGAGUUACUGUUGCUAGCGAGGUUAAGUGGAAAACAUGGAGCCGCAGCGAAAGCGAGUCUGAACAGGGCGUUCAGUUAGUGAUAGUAGACCCGAAACCGUAGUGAUCUAUCCAUGGCCAGGUUGAAGCACAGGUAAAAUUGUGUGGAGGACCGAACUCGUGAGCGUUGAAAAGCUUUGGGAUGAGUUGUGGAUAGGGGUGAAAUGCCAAUCGAACACGGAGAUAGCUGGUUCUCCCCGAAAUAGCUUUAGGGCUAGCCUCAAGCUUAGAGAAACGGAGGUAGAGCACUGAAUGUCCUAGGGGGUAUUGCACUUACCGAAGACUAUCAAACUCCGAAUGCCGUUUUCUUUUACUUGGGAGUCAGACUGUGGGUGAUAAGAUUCAUAGUCAAAAGGGCAACAGCCCAGAUCGUCAGCUAAGGUCCCUAAAUGUACGUUAAGUGGUAAAGGAUGUGGGAUUGCACAGACAACCAGGAUGUUGGCUUAGAAGCAGCCACUCAUUUAAAGAGUGCGUAAUAGCUCACUGGUCGAGUGAUCCUGCGCCGAAAAUUUCCGGGGCUAAAACGUACUACCGAAGCUACGGCAUCAUUUAUGAUGGGUAGGGGAGCUUCGUAUGCAGGCUGAAGCAUGACCGUAAGGACAUGUGGACAGUAUACGAGUGAGAAUGUUGGCAUGAGUAGCGAGACGUGGGUGAGAAUCCCACGGGCCGUAAACCCAAGGUUUCCAGGGGAAGGUUCGUCCGCCCUGGGUUAGUCGGGACCUAAGCCGAGGCCGAAAGGCGUAGGUGAUGGACAACAGGUUGAUAUUCCUGUACCACCAAUAACCGUUUGAGAAAUGGGAUGACACAGUAGGAUAAGCUAACCGCACUGUUGGUUAUGUGCGGGCAAGUAUUGAGGCAGUUCCGAUAGGCAAAUCCGUCGGAAUAAUGCUGGGGUACGAUGCGGAGCGAAAUUUAGUAGCGAAGUAGCUGAUUUCACACUGUCGAGAAAAGUCUCUAUCGAGGUUAAAGGUGCCUGUACCGCAAACCGACACAGGUGGGUGAGGAGAGUAUCCUAAGGCCAGCGAGAGAACUGUUGUUAAGGAACUCGGCAAAAUGACCCCGUAACUUCGGGAGAAGGGGUGCCUUCGAAAGAAGGCCGCAGAGAAUAGGCCCAAGCGACUGUUUACCAAAAACAUAGGUUUCUGCUAAGUCGCAAGACGAUGUAUAGGAGCUGACGCCUGCCCGGUGCUGGAAGGUUAAGGGGAUCUGUUAGAGCAAUCGAAGCAGUGAACUUAAGCCCCAGUAAACGGCGGCCGUAACUAUAACGGUCCUAAGGUAGCGAAAUUCCUUGUCGGGUAAGUUCCGACCCGCACGAAAGGCGUAACGAUUUGGGCACUGUCUCAACAACAGACUCGGUGAAAUUGUAAUACCGGUGAAGAUGCCGGUUACCUGCGACAGGACGGAAAGACCCCAUGGAGCUUUACUGUAGCUUGACAUUGAGUCUCGGUGCUACAUGUACAGGAUAGGUGGGAGACUAUGAAGCAUGGACGUCAGUCUGUGUGGAGUCAUCCUUGGGAUACCACCCUUGUAGUACUGGGAUUCUAACCAGAGGCCAUGAAUCUGGUCUUGGGACACUGUCAGGUGGACAGUUUGACUGGGGCGGUCGCCUCCCAAAAAGUAACGGAGGCGCUCAAAGGUUCUCUCAGUACGGUCGGAAAUCGUACGAAGAGUGUAAAGGCAAAAGAGAGCUUGAUUGCAAGACAUACAGGUCGAGCAAGGACGAAAGUCGGACUUAGUGAUCCGGUGGUUCCGCAUGGAAGGGCCAUCGCUCAACGGAUAAAAGCUACCCUGGGGAUAACAGGCUUAUCUCCCCCAAGAGUCCACAUCGACGGGGAGGUUUGGCACCUCGAUGUCG